RNAcentral lists this ribosomal RNA (443 nucleotides) under uncultured bacterium. RNAcentral describes it as "partial 16S ribosomal RNA". It matches the Rfam family "Bacterial small subunit ribosomal RNA", at positions 338 to 795 of the family's 1533-position model. The record is from RNAcentral.
CCUACGGGUGGCAGCAGUGGGGAAUAUUGGGCAAUGGGCGCAAGCCUGACCCAGCAACGCCGCGUGAAGGAAGAAGGCUUUCGGGUUGUAAACUCCUUUUCUGAGGGACGAAGAAAGUGACGGUACCUCACGAAUAAGCCACGGCUAACUACGUGCCAGCAGCCGCGGCAAUACGGAGGUGGCAAGCGUUAUCCGGAUUCAUUGGGUGUAAAGGGCGUGGAGGCAGGAAAGCAAGUCAGGUGAGAAAACUAAGGGCUCAACCCUGAGCCUGCAUUUGAAACUGUUAGUCUUGAGUGCUGGAGAGGCAAGCGGAAUUCGGUGUGUAGCGGUGAAAUGCAUAGAUAUACGGAAGAACACCGGUGGCGAAGGCAGAUUGCUGGACAGUAACUGACGCUGAGGCACGAAAGCGUGGGGAGCGAACAGGAUUAGAUACCCCAGUAGUC